This 547-nucleotide ribosomal RNA is filed under the name uncultured Glomus. RNAcentral describes it as "SSU rRNA". It matches the Rfam family "Eukaryotic small subunit ribosomal RNA", at positions 548 to 1098 of the family's 1831-position model. The record is from RNAcentral. Lineage: Eukaryota; Fungi; Glomeromycota; Glomeromycetes; Glomerales; Glomeraceae.
UUGGAGGGCAAGUCUGGUGCCAGCAGCCGCGGUAAUUCCAGCUCCAAUAGCGUAUAUUAAAGUUGUUGCAGUUAAAAAGCUCGUAGUUGAAUUUCGGGAUCAGUAGGUUGGUCAUGCCAAUGGUAUGUACUGGCUUUACUGAUUCCUCCUUCUUGAUGAUCUGUAAUGUCAUUAAUUUGGUGUUGCAGGGAGUCAGGACUGUUACUUUGAAAAAAUUAGAGUGUUUAAAGCAGGCAUACGCUUGAAUACAUUAGCAUGGAAUAAUGAAAUAGGACGUUCGAUCCUAUUUUGUUGGUUUCUAGGAUUGACGUAAUGAUUAAUAGGGAUAGUUGGGGGCAUUAGUAUUCAAUUGUCAGAGGUGAAAUUCUUGGAUUUAUUGAAGACUAACUACUGCGAAAGCAUUUGCCAAGGAUGUUUUCAUUAAUCAAGAACGAAAGUUAGGGGAUCGAAGACGAUCAGAUACCGUCGUAGUCUUAACCAUAAACUAUGCCGACUAGGGAUCGGAUGAUGUUAUUUUUAAUGACUCAUUCGGCACCUUACGGGAAAC